AAAUUAACAUCACAUCUGUCAUUUUACAAAACUGAGUAGAACUAAACGGUUACAAAUCUGACUUACUGUUGGCACAGGACCUUAACAGGUUUUAUGUCAGAUUUGACUCACAUGAUUUUAGUAGUAAACACUCUGAACUUAAGACCAGAGGUUUGGCAUCUCCUUCAUUUAUCCCUUCCUUCAAUGAGCAUA
Long non-coding RNA from Thalassophryne amazonica, 192 nucleotides. RefSeq lists it as uncharacterized. The transcript has 3 exons. NCBI's taxonomy places the organism in Eukaryota, Metazoa, Chordata, Actinopteri, Batrachoidiformes, Batrachoididae. The record is from RefSeq and is a predicted model, not a curated record.